This 253-nucleotide ribosomal RNA is filed under the name uncultured bacterium. RNAcentral's name for it is "partial 16S ribosomal RNA". It matches the Rfam family "Bacterial small subunit ribosomal RNA", at positions 524 to 776 of the family's 1533-position model. The record is from RNAcentral.
UACAGAGGGGGCAAGCGUUGUUCGGAAUUACUGGGCGUAAAGGGCGCGUAGGCGGCCUGCUAAGUCGAACGUGAAAUCCCUGGGCCCAACCCAGGAACUGCGUCCGAUACUGGUUGGCUUGAAUCCGGGAGAGGGACGUGGAAUUCCAGGUGUAGCGGUGAAAUGCGUAGAUAUCUGGAGGAACACCGGUGGCGAAGGCGACGUCCUGGACCGGCAUUGACGCUGAGGCGCGAAAGCCAGGGGAGCAAACGGG